GUGCCAGCCGCCGCGGUAAUACGAAGGGGGCUAGCGUUGUUCGGAAUUACUGGGCGUAAAGGGCGCGUAGGCUGUGCUGUAAGUCAGGCGUGAAAUCCCCGGGCUCAACCUGGGAAUUGCGCAUGAUACUGCGGCGCUGGAAUGCAGGAGAGGAUGGCGGAAUUCCCAGUGUAGAGGUGAAAUUCGUAGAUAUUGGGAAGAACACCGGUGGCGAAGGCGGCCAUCUGGCCUGCAAUUGACGCUGAGGCGCGAAAGCGUGGGGAGCAAACAGGAUUAGAUACCCCCGUAGUCC
RNAcentral lists this ribosomal RNA (292 nucleotides) under uncultured bacterium. RNAcentral describes it as "partial 16S ribosomal RNA". It matches the Rfam family "Bacterial small subunit ribosomal RNA", at positions 505 to 796 of the family's 1533-position model. The record is from RNAcentral.